AUGAAUAGAGUAGAAUACUUCAGUCAUUUGAGAGUCGUGUUACUGGUCCUGAAACAAAACUGUUGUGACAAGUUGUUAAAUGGAGGACUUUCCAAGAAAUCAGUCCUUCAUAGCAGAAAGACUUGCAGACAAGGCACAAUGCCAUGCAGAAUCAGGCCUCAUUUCUUACCACCAGAGGAGUUGUAUUUGAUAACCAAGACCUGCAGAAAUAAAUAUGUGAAAACAGCGAUAACUUCGGAUGAGCAUCUAAAACACUCAGACCCUGGAAGACAAGAGGAUGACAGCAGCAGGUGGCUUUACUUUCCCUGGACGCUUAGGGGUACAGGCACUGACCAGUCCCUGUUAGUGAACUGCUUGGAGGAGUCAGGCUUUGCAAGAAACUGAGUACAAGAUACCUUACAUUCAUCUGAUUGAUACCCAAACAAACUGCACUACAAUAUUUGGAACUUGUUGCAAGACAAGUCUCAAGAGAUCAAGGGUUCUUCUCCUAAAACACCUUGAAUCCCCUUCCUUGCAGGACUUCUGAUGUUUUUACAGUGUAGGAGUUCCCUGUCAUCAUUAAG
Molecule: long non-coding RNA, 563 nt
Filed under: Anser cygnoides (Swan goose)
Lineage: Eukaryota; Metazoa; Chordata; Aves; Anseriformes; Anatidae
Description: lncRNA (ENSACDG00005006275.1)
Source: RNAcentral